UUGUCUCAAAGAUUAAGCCAUGCAUGUCUCAGUACAGACCGAAUUAAGGUGAAACCGCAAAUGGCUCAUUAUAUCAGUCUUGAUUUCUUAGAUCGUGCCACAUCCUUACUUGGAUAACUGUGGAAAAUCCAGAGCUAAUACAUGCAAACUAGAGUUCCGACUGUUUUAGGACAGGAAGAAUGCAUUUGUUAGAAUAAAACCGACCGUACUUUCGGGUACGCUCUCUGUUUUAUGGUGACUCUGAAUAACUUAGCCGAGCGCUGCGACCUCGAGUCGGCGCCGUAUCUUUCAAGUGUCUGCCUUAUCAGCUGUCGAUUGUAGGUUAUAUGCCUACAAUGGCUGUCACGGGUAACGGGGAAUCAGGGUUCGAUUCCGGAGAGGGAGCCUGAGAAACGGCUACCACAUCUAAGGAAGGCAGCAGGCACGCAAAUUACCCACUCCCAGCUCGGGGAGGUAGUGACGAAAAAUAACGAUGAGAGACUCUUCCGAGGCCUCUCAAUCGGAAUGAGUCCAUUUUAAAUCCUUGGACGAGGACCCAUUGGAGGGCAAGUCUGGUGCCAGCAGCCGCGGUAAUUCCAGCUCCAAUAGCGUAUAUGUAAGUUGCUGCGGUUAAAAAGCUCGUAGUUGGAUUUGGGAUCCAACAUCGAUGGCCCACGUAAGGUUGGAACUUGGGUGUGUGCAAACGCGCUCUUGUUUAAUGGACCUGGUGGAUUACUGUCGAAAGUUGGUUUAUAUACAUACCGUCGACUCGCUAGGAGUGCUCUUUACCGAGUGUUCCCACGCGGUUGACACGUUCACUUUGAAUAAAUUAGAGUGCUUAAAGCAGGCAAAUUUAACGCCUGGAUGGGUACGCAUGGAAUGAAGGAACAGGACCUCGGUUCUGCUCUUUUGGUCGGUUUUCGAACCGAGGUAAUGAUUAAAAGGAAUAGACGGUGGCAUUAGUACUGUGGCGCUAGAGGUGAAAUUCUUGGAACGUCGCAUGACUAACUACUGCGAAAGCAUUUGCCAAGAAUGUUUUCGUUAAUCAAGAACGAAAGUUAGAGGAUCGAAGGCGAUCAGAUACCGCCCUAGUUCUAACCAUAAACUAUGCUAACUGGCGAUCCGUCGCUGUCAUUCCCACGACUCGACGGGAAGCUCCCGGGAAACCAAAGUUUUUGAGUUCCGGGGGAAGUAUGGUUGCAAAGCUGAAACUUAAAGGAAUUGACGGAAGGGCACCACCAGGAGUGGAGCCUGCGGCUUAAUUUGACUCAACACGGGAAAUCUCACCAGGCCCAGACGUCGUUAGGAUUGACAGAUUAAGAGCUCUUUCUCGAUUCGACGGGUGGUGGUGCAUGGCCGUUCUUAGUUGGUGGAGCGAUCUGUCUGGUUGAUUCCGAUAACGAACGAGACUCUACCCUACUAAAUAGUUGGCAAAUCGUUACCCUGAGCUUGAGGCUCGAAUGAGUGAUGCGCAUGAAAGCCUUCAGUGCUGGUAGUUGCUUUUUGUGGCUGCUAGUCUGGAUGUGUGGGAUUGUUGCUAGCCCAUUUACAGUCUCUACUGGGGGUGUUUGUCUUUAAUUCUUCUUAGAGGGAUCCACGGCGUCCAGCCGCACGAGAAAGAGCAAUAACAGGUCUGUGAUGCCCUUAGAUGUUCUGGGCCGCACGCGCGCUACAAUGUAGGUGUCAACGUGUUUUCCUCUCCGAAAGGAGCGGGCAACCCCAUGAAAUACCUACCCGAUUGGGAUUGGGGAUUGAAAAUGUUUCUCAUAAACGAGGAAUUCCCAGUAAGCGCGAGUCACUAACUCGCGUUGAUUACGUCCCUGCCCUUUGUACACACCGCCCGUCGCUACUACCGAUUGAAUGAUUCAGUGAGAGCAUUGGACUGUCGCCUUCGGUUUGUAUCACUACAAAAUCUUUGGCUGACGGAAAGAUGUCCAAACUUGAUCAUUAG
Molecule: ribosomal RNA, 1930 nt
Filed under: Uromunna nana
Lineage: Eukaryota; Metazoa; Arthropoda; Malacostraca; Isopoda; Munnidae
Description: SSU rRNA
Rfam family: Eukaryotic small subunit ribosomal RNA
Source: RNAcentral